Brassica oleracea var. oleracea is the source of this 358-nucleotide long non-coding RNA. RefSeq lists it as uncharacterized. The transcript has 2 exons. NCBI's taxonomy places the organism in Eukaryota, Viridiplantae, Streptophyta, Magnoliopsida, Brassicales, Brassicaceae. The record is from RefSeq and is a predicted model, not a curated record.
ACUACGCUUCGUUUCCUCUCUUGUUACCGUCACCGUGAAUUAGCCGAUCAGGGUUUCAAGAAAAAGAGUUUCUCCGACAUGAGAGCCAAGUGGAAGAAGAAGCGUAUGAGGAGGCUGAAGAGGAAGAGACGAAAGAUGAGACAGCGAUCUAAGUAGACUCAGAGAGAGAGAGAGUGACUCCUCUUGAAAGACUUUGCUUUUCCAUCUGCUUCCUUUGUUUCCCUCAUUUCAGUUUCGCUAGAGAUCUUUAAAAGUACUUUUGGUUUGGUCUCAUUUCAGUUUUUUAAGUGUUCGUAGCUUUGUUUUUGUCGGAUUGUAGGAUCCUCAAUUAAUGGCAAUGCUAUAUGUUUUAAUUCAC